Molecule: long non-coding RNA, 1188 nt
Organism: Rosa rugosa (rugosa rose)
Lineage: Eukaryota; Viridiplantae; Streptophyta; Magnoliopsida; Rosales; Rosaceae
Exons: 4
Source: RefSeq, a predicted model, not a curated record
CUCCUCUCUCCCUCUCUCGGCCGCACGACCCCUUCUCUCUCUUGCACGUCGUUCUUCUGCUAGCGCCGGAAAAUGCUAGUUUCCGGCCACCACCUCUCGUCACCGCCACCACCAAUCGGUCCGACACCUAGUUUCGACGCAAGCCCAGGCCAAAUCGACGAGUUCUACCGAGCCUAGCCACCAUGCACAGAAACCACAGUCCCCGCGAUUUUGUCUCCUUCAAUUCCGGCGACUCCCUCAGCUCACCGCUGCCGCCAACGUGUUUGGAUCAAGCCAAGCCACAAAACCCAAAUGUUUCUCCUCCAAUCGACGCCGGAAAGCUGCUAUAUGCAUCACUGCCGGUGACUCCGAAUCUGCUUGUCCUCGUUCUCCAAUCUCCAGCCCAAAUUGAGCUGCACAACCACCAAAGUUGGAAUCAGAGCCUCCUCAUUCUUCAAAACCCUUUGGUCCCGACCUUUGCUUCGGCCAGAACCGUUGCACGCGCUGCCGCUGCCGUGUGGACCACCGUGGCUCCGCCACCGGAAUUCCAGGCCACCUGUAUUAAUUUUUGAUUAUGAGUUAUGAAGUUUUUGGAGAAAGGAAUGGGCAUUGGUUCAGUUUGAUGUAUAAUGAAGGAAGGAAGGAGUUCGAAUGGUUGUUGGUGGUGGAGGACUACACUUAUUUAGAAUUGGCCCUCUGUUUGAAGAUGAAGAAUUGGACUCGAGCGUGACUACUUGAGAUAGAACGAAAGCUCAAUAUCGAAAAUGAUUGAACGGAGAAAUUUCCGAGCCCUUGACUUGGGAUGGAUGAGUUGACGAUUAUUGCAUUUGAAUCACUUGUGCAGGUUAGAUUAGUCGUGGUCGGGCGUACAUGGAGUCGAGGCAUAGUCCACAACAUAGCUUCCGUGCAUUCAUUUUAUUUCUAUUUUCCUUAUUUAUCUGUUAUUAGAGCUGCUCUGAUAACCUGUGGGAUUCAUGUUAUCAAGUUAUCAAGUUGAUAGUUGUACUUUUUGAAAUGGAAGUUGAUGUUAUUUGGGGAGCAGGGCGGCUCCAGGAGAAUAAGGAUGGAUUGAUUUAGAAGUGUAAAAUUUUCCUACAAGUUUGGGUAGCCUACUUUUAGGGGAAGUUCUGCCAAAUUUUUGGUAGAAUUUCUUCUAAGGUGGGCCCCGCAGGGUCACUCCGGAUUUUGGGGUGAAAUCCGGGGCGGGUC